RNAcentral lists this long non-coding RNA (842 nucleotides) under Cricetulus griseus (Chinese hamster). RNAcentral's name for it is "lncRNA (ENSCGRG00015035820.1)". The record is from RNAcentral. Lineage: Eukaryota; Metazoa; Chordata; Mammalia; Rodentia; Cricetidae.
CUCGUCCCCAGAGUGAUCUGCGAGCGGCGUCGCUGCCUGACAGCUGCCCGUGGGGCUGGGUGGGCUGCCCCACCCCCGCGCCAUCCACCAGCCAGACCUGGGAGCCAGCUCCACGGGAAAACCUUUGCUUUAAAAAAAAAAAAAAAAAAAGGCAGGAGAUGGCUAUCUUCCGUUUAAGUUACUUCAGACCUGGGCUUCCUAUGGGGACAGUUUUUACACCCGGUCACAGGAUAUAAAUAGCUACAGGGAGAAAACGAGAGUUUUAUGGUUUGAGAGCCUGAAUAAAUAAGCAGGGUUUUCUCUUUCCACGUUUUCCGCAGCGCGAAUCGUCAUUUAAACUUCGCUGAAGUGACCACGUUCGUUCACUUGUAAGCAGCCUUUAAGAACAGGGCCCAGAGCCUCCCGGUAGCAGAUCCCUGCCCCCACCAAGUCCCUAGCCUUGCUCUUGGACUGCUCUCUGAAGGACACCCCUCUACUUAAAACACCCAGGGCACUACAAGCAUGAGCCCCCGGCAUAUCUGCAAAACCAGAGGUGGGAAUCAGGGGUGACCUUCUGGGACAGGAACCCGGCGAAGCCAGGGCUUACUGCGGGGCUGAACCUUUGAGGCCAGAGACGCUCGGACCUGCUCCUUCCCUGCCUUUCAAGAUGUACCACAGACUGAAGCUAACCUACAGGGCACAACGAACAUUCUACUUGGCAAAAAAGAAAAAAAGAAAAAAAGAAAAAAGAAAAGAAAAAGGUUAGUUUAGAAACUGAGACUUUUAGCCAUGCCAGGAAUUUUAAAUCUGAGCUGAAUGGAAAGCAUUCAGGAGACCAUGAACCUGGGACCUGGGAGAGGAAC